CAUCAUCACUCUUUGUACAGGAUUUUAUGAAAAUCAGGUGUGUAAUACAAAGAGUCUAAGAAAAUCUGUUGGAGCUCUGCUCAACUUCUGAAGUUCUGGCAGUUAAAACUGUUAAAUGCACUUAGCUGCAGGCAAUAUCGGAUUCGUCCAUCUACUGCUGUAGCAUGAGCAAACUAAUGGCACGGCCUCCAAGUCCAGCUCUUUUCGAAUUUUUAUAAAGUUUGGCUAGAUACAAGUCAUGCACACUUCUUACAUUGUAUCUGCAGCUGGCUGCUUCAAACUAGAAUGACUUGAGCGAGCUGGAUCUCCCAGAAAGCCCUCUGUAUUUGCAUUUAUCCUACGUGAUUCACCAUUUCUGAUUACCAUGGCACGUCUGGCUGCCUCUGAGGAUUCAUGUCUCAUCUGCAACCAACUGAGAUGA
RNAcentral lists this long non-coding RNA (421 nucleotides) under Mus spicilegus (steppe mouse). RNAcentral's name for it is "lncRNA (ENSMSIG00000015147.1)". The record is from RNAcentral. Lineage: Eukaryota; Metazoa; Chordata; Mammalia; Rodentia; Muridae.